CCUACGGGCGGCAGCAGUGAGGAAUAUUGGUCAAUGGACGCAAGUCUGAACCAGCCAUGCCGCGUGCAGGAAGACGGCUCUAUGAGUUGUAAACUGCUUUUGUACGAGGGUAAACCCAGAUACGCGUAUCUGUCUGAAAGUAUCGUACGAAUAAGGAUCGGCUAACUCCGUGCCAGCAGCCGCGGUAAUACGGAGGAUUCAAGCGUUAUCCGGAUUUAUUGGGUUUAAAGGGUGCGUAGGCGGUCUGAUAAGUUAGAGGUGAAAUGCCGAGGCUCAACUCCGGAAUUGCCUCUGAUACUGUUAGGCUAGAGAAUAGUUGAGGUAGGCGGAAUGUAUGGUGUAGCGGUGAAAUGCUUAGAGAUCAUACAGAACACCGAUUGCGAAGGCAGCUUACCAAGCUACAUCUGACGUUGAGGCACGAAAGCGUGGGUAGCAAACAGGAUUAGAUACCCUGGUAGUC
This 460-nucleotide ribosomal RNA is filed under the name uncultured bacterium. RNAcentral's name for it is "partial 16S ribosomal RNA". It matches the Rfam family "Bacterial small subunit ribosomal RNA", at positions 338 to 795 of the family's 1533-position model. The record is from RNAcentral.